CUGAAAAUUUAGAAAAAUUAGCAACACACUCUUCAACAGUCACAAAGUCACCAUUAAUUUUUUUUUCCUCUCUCAUAUUCAGAUCUCUCAUCAUCUCUCUAUCUCUCUCCGAUCCUUUAAAACCUAAGACGAAUUUCCAUUUCUAGCUCUAUAGACUACACAAUAGCCUAAUUCUCCACCUACUCGAUUUCUCUCUGCAAUGGUGGUCUGCAAAUGCCGCAAGGCUACAAAACUAUAUUGUUUCGUUCAUAAGGUUCCUGUUUGUGGGGAAUGUAUCUGCUUCACAGAGCAUCAAAUAUGUGUGGUUCGUACUUACUCUGAGUGGGUAAUAGAUGGAGAGUAUGAUUGGCCUCCAACAUGUUGCUUCUGCCAAUCUGUGCUUGAAGAGGGGAAUAAUUCUCAAACCACCCGAUUGGGUUGCCUGCAUGUUAUACACACCAAUUGUUUGGUUUCCCAAAUCAAGAGCUUUCCUCCGCACACUGCACCAGCUGGAUAUGUAUGUCCUUCAUGUUCCACAUCGAUAUGGCCUCCCAAGAGUGUCAAAGAUUCAGGAUCUCGUCUUCAUUCAAAGCUGAAGGAGGCUAUCAUGCAAACUGGUUUGGAAAAGAACUUAUUUGGAAAUCAUCCUGUUUCUUUACCAGCACCGCCUCCUGCGUUUGUCUCAGAUCCAUUGGUUACCAUUUCUUCAUCAUCUUCAGUGACAAAAGAUGAAAUAAAGAUAGAUGAAGAUUACUUAUCUGCAACUGGAACUGGGCCUCCUACAAUUUCAAUACCAGAUAGCCCCAGUUCAGCAGGGAAUUAUUUGAAAAACUCAAGUCCUGCUGGUCCUGGUGCUACAACACGAAAGGGUGGCAUCCAUGUUGAAAGGCAGAAUUCGGAAAUUUCAUACUAUGCAGAUGAUGAAGAUGGGAAUCGUAAAAAGUACAGUCGAAGGGGUGAGUGGAAACUUUAUGUAUUUAGGCAAGUUCAAAUGACAGUGGAGCUUGUGAGAUUUUUACAGGAGCAACUUUACCAGCUUAAGAUUAGAUUCUGUUUACCAUGCCUACUAUGGUCGUCAAAAUAUCAUAUGGAUGUCCAUUCCGCCAUAAGUUCCUUAGAGCAUUGCUUCCGUUCUGGUCAAGUGCAUUACCAACUUUACCGGUAACUGCACCUCCACAUAAGGAUGCAUCAAACACAGAUGAUGUCUCGGAAGCUCGUGUGAGGCAUCACAGACCAUCAAGAAUGGAUCCAAGAAAAAUCCUUCUUUUUAUAGCAAUCAUGGCCUGCAUGGCAACUAUGGGUAUACUUUAUUACAGAAUUGCCCAACGGGGUCUUGGGGAGGAGCAGCCAGAUGAUGAGCAGUAGUAAUUCUUACUCAAGGUUGUGACAGAAUUUUAAUGAUCAUUUAUUGUACCUGUAUAUGCAUGCCUGAUGGUUAAUGGUGAUUUUACUGCUGCUUUUUGUGUGUGGCUCCUCCCAUUUUUGCAUCAAUUGCUUGUUUAUGAAUGAAAUGUAAAAUGGGAUGUAAGAUAGUUAUUUCAUAAUGUCAGUUGUAGAAAAACGUUGCAUAUUCCA
Hevea brasiliensis (rubber tree) is the source of this 1554-nucleotide RNA transcript. RefSeq lists it as uncharacterized. The transcript is spliced from 9 exons. The record is from RefSeq and is a predicted model, not a curated record. NCBI's taxonomy places the organism in Eukaryota, Viridiplantae, Streptophyta, Magnoliopsida, Malpighiales, Euphorbiaceae.